GAUGAACGCUGGCGGCGUGCCUAAUACAUGCAAGUCGAGCGAACAGAUGAGGAGCUUGCUCCUCUGACGUUAGCGGCGGACGGGUGAGUAACACGUGGAUAACCUACCUAUAAGACUGGGAUAACUUCGGGAAACCGGAGCUAAUACCGGAUAAUAUAUUGAACCGCAUGGUUCAAUAGUGAAAGACGGUUUUGCUGUCACUUAUAGAUGGAUCCGCGCCGCAUUAGCUAGUUGGUAAGGUAACGGCUUACCAAGGCAACGAUGCGUAGCCGACCUGAGAGGGGUAUUGGGCACACUGGGACCUAGGAACCGGUCAGGACUCUUCCGGGAGGCAGCGGUAGGGAACUUCCCGCAAGGGCGGAAAGCUUGACGGGGAACCGCGGGGGGAGUGAGAAGGGCCUCCGGUCGGUAAACCUUUUUAAUUGGGAAAGAAAAAUUGUGUAAUUAACUAGCACCGCCUGAAGGGAACCAAACAAAAAAGCCCCGCUAAACUAGGG
This 497-nucleotide ribosomal RNA is filed under the name uncultured bacterium. RNAcentral's name for it is "partial 16S ribosomal RNA". It matches the Rfam family "Bacterial small subunit ribosomal RNA", at positions 28 to 506 of the family's 1533-position model. The record is from RNAcentral.